GGAGGCUUCCAAAGGUGCCCUCGGGACGAUUGGUAACCGUCCUGUGAGUGUAAUGGCGAAAGGGCGCUUGACUGGGAGGCACACAAGCCGAUCAGGUGGGAAACCAGGGCAUAGUGAUCCGGCGGUUCCGCAUGGAAGGGCCGUCGCUCAAAGGAUAAAAGGUACUCCGGGGAUAACAGGCUGAUCCCUCCCAAGAGCUCAUAUCGACGGAGUGGUUUGGCACCUCGAUGUCGGCUCAUCGCAUCCUGGGGCUGUAGUCGGUCCCAAGGGUUGGGCUGUUCGCCCAUUAAAGCGGUACGCGAGCUGGGUUCAGAACGUCGUGAGACAGUUCGG
Molecule: ribosomal RNA, 333 nt
Filed under: Pseudomonas aeruginosa
Lineage: Bacteria; Pseudomonadati; Pseudomonadota; Gammaproteobacteria; Pseudomonadales; Pseudomonadaceae
Description: partial 23S ribosomal RNA
Rfam family: Bacterial large subunit ribosomal RNA
Source: RNAcentral